AAAGCAAAGAGGUUCCCGAUUAAACUGUGUUUAAAGAAGAUUCCUUGGUGUGGCGUCUUUCUUGCUGGUCAAGGUUGGACGCCGCAAGUGGUGGCCCGUACGGGGAAUUCAGAACUUCUCACAGUCGGGGCAGCGCCGGUAAGUUCCCAAGGAUCAGCAAGACCCGGUGUGGAUUCCAGAGAGACUAAUGAGGAGGUGCAACAGACAAGAUGAAGCCUCCGAUACUGAUCCUGCUGCUGACCUUGAUGACACCGUGGCUGAUCCAGGCCAGAGAACAAAUCCUGAUGGCCAAUAAUUUCAUAGAGAACAGCAACCUGAGUUGACAGCUGAGUGCCUACCUUCAGGGAAAUUGGAGUCAACAGUUCGAGAACCUGACAGACACCCUGACACAACAGAUUAUUGCCGUGAAUGCUACACGCCUGAGCCUGCCCACUGUUAAUACCCUCUUAACUACCCUUAAGCGAGCCUUUAGUUUAGUUAAGGAAUGGGCUGG
This 493-nucleotide long non-coding RNA is filed under the name Cricetulus griseus (Chinese hamster). Its description in RNAcentral is "lncRNA (ENSCGRG00015040336.1)". Lineage: Eukaryota; Metazoa; Chordata; Mammalia; Rodentia; Cricetidae. The record is from RNAcentral.